UACGAAGGGGACUAGCGUUGUUCGGAAUCACUGGGCGUAAAGCGCACGUAGGCGGAUAUGUCAGUCAGGGGUGAAAUCCCGGGGCUCAACCUCGGAACUGCCCUUGAUACAGCAUAUCUUGAGUCCGAUAGAGGUGGGUGGAAUUCCUAGUGUAGAGGUGAAAUUCGUAGAUAUUAGGAAGAACACCGGUGGCGAAGGCGGCCCACUGGAUCGGUACUGACGGUGAGGUGCGAAAGCGUGGGGAGCAAACAGG
Molecule: ribosomal RNA, 253 nt
Filed under: uncultured bacterium
Lineage: Bacteria
Description: partial 16S ribosomal RNA
Rfam family: Bacterial small subunit ribosomal RNA
Source: RNAcentral